AUUGAACGCUGGCGGCAGGCCUAACACAUGCAAGUCGAGCGAGCGGCGGACGGGUGAGUAAUGUAUGGGGACUGCCCGAUAGAGGGGGAUAACUACUGGAAACGGUGGCUACUACCGCAUACUAUCGGAUAACCCAUAUGGGAGUAGCUAGUGGGUGGGGUAAAGGCUCACCUAGGCGACGAUCGCUAGCUGGUCUGAGAGGAUGAUCCGCCACACUGAGACGGAGACACUGCCCCUACUCCUACGGAGGCAGCAGUGGGGAAGAUUGCACAAUGGGUGCAAGCCCUAUGCAGCCAUGCCGGUUGUAUGAAGAAGGCCUUAGGGUUGUAAAGGACUUUCAUCGGGGAGGCGUUGCCCGCAGAAGAAGGACCGGCGAACUCCGUGCCAGCAGGCGCAGUAAUAC
This 403-nucleotide ribosomal RNA is filed under the name uncultured bacterium. RNAcentral's name for it is "partial 16S ribosomal RNA". It matches the Rfam family "Bacterial small subunit ribosomal RNA", at positions 30 to 526 of the family's 1533-position model. The record is from RNAcentral.